AAUGGGCGCAAGCCUGAUCCAGCAAUGCCGCGUGUGUGAAGAAGGCCUGCGGGUUGUAAAGCACUUUCAGUGGGGAAGAACGGGCCAAGGUUAAUACCCCUGGCUUCUGACGUUACCCACAGAAGAAGCACCGGCUAACUCCGUGCCAGCAGCCGCGGUAAUACGGAGGGUGCAAGCGUUAAUCGGAAUCACUGGGCGUAAAGCGCACGUAGGCGGCACGUUAAGUCAGCUGUGAAAGCCCUGGGCUCAACCUGGGAAUGGCAGUUGAUACUGACGCGCUCGAGUCUGAGAGAGGGGGGUGGAAUUCCAGGUGUAGCGGUGAAAUGCGUAGAUAUCUGGAGGAACACCGGUGGCGAAGGCGGCCCCCUGGCUCAUGACUGACGCUGAGGUGCGAAAGCGUGGGGAGCAAA
Molecule: ribosomal RNA, 410 nt
Filed under: uncultured bacterium
Lineage: Bacteria
Description: bacterial SSU rRNA
Rfam family: Bacterial small subunit ribosomal RNA
Source: RNAcentral